This 282-nucleotide unclassified non-coding RNA is filed under the name plant metagenome. Its description in RNAcentral is "partial contains small subunit ribosomal RNA, internal transcribed spacer 1, and 5.8S ribosomal RNA". The record is from RNAcentral.
UUUCCGUAGGUGAACCUGCGGAAGGAUCAUUAUUGUAUAACCGAGGUGCGAGGGCUGUCGCUGACCCGAAAGGUCGUGCACGCCCGAGUGCCCUCACACACAUCCAUCUCACCCCUAUGUGCACCACCGCGUGGGUCCCCCUUUGGCUUGUUCGGAGGGGGGCUUACGUUUUCACACAAACUUUGUAUGCAGUGUAGAAUGUAUUUUUUGUUUUUGCGAUCACGCAAUCAAUACAACUUUCAACAACAGAUCUCUUGGCUCUCGCAUCGAUGAAGACGCAGC